AGAGUUUGAUCCUGGCUCAGGAUGAACGCUAGCUACAGGCUUAACACAUGCAAGUCGAGGGGCAUCACAGAGUGGCAACACUUGGGUGGCGACCGGCGCACGGGUGAGUAACACGUAUCCAACCUGUCCCAUACUCGGGGAUAGCCUUUCGAAAGAAAGAUUAAUACCCGAUGGCAUCCAGUCAAGGCAUCUUGAUAGGAUUAAAGAAUUUCGGUAUGGGGUGGGGAUGCGUUCCAUCAGCUUGUUGGCGGGGUAACGGCCCACCAAGGCAACGAUGGAUAGGGGUUCUGAGAGGAAGGUCCCCCACAUUGGAACUGAGACACGGUCCAAACUCCUACGGGAGGCAGCAGUGAGGAAUAUUGGUCAAUGGACGAGAGUCUGAACCAGCCAAGUAGCGUGAAGGAAGACUGCCCUAUGGGUUGUAAACUUCUUUUAUAAGGGAAUAAAGUGCAUCACGUGUGGUGUUUUGUAUGUACCUUAUGAAUAAGGAUCGGCUAACUCCGUGCCAGCAGCCGCGGUAAUACGGAGGAUCCGAGCGUUAUCCGGAUUUAUUGGGUUUAAAGGGAGCGUAGGCGGCAGGUUAAGUCAGUUGUGAAAGUUUGCGGCUCAACCGUAAAAUUGCAGUUGAUACUGGCCUGCUUGAGUGCGGCAGAGGCAGGCGGAAUUUGUGGUGUAGCGGUGAAAUGCUUAGAUAUCACGAAGAACUCCGAUUGCGAAGGCAGCUUGCUGGAGCGUAACUGACGCUGAUGCUCGAAAGUGCGGGUAUCAAACAGGAUUAGAUACCCUGGUAGUCCGCACAGUAAACGAUGGACACUCGCUGUUGGCGAUACACGGUCAGCGGCUUAGCGAAAGCGUU
This 856-nucleotide ribosomal RNA is filed under the name uncultured bacterium. RNAcentral's name for it is "bacterial SSU rRNA". It matches the Rfam family "Bacterial small subunit ribosomal RNA", at positions 8 to 861 of the family's 1533-position model. The record is from RNAcentral.